This is a small nuclear RNA of Perognathus longimembris pacificus (Pacific pocket mouse), 107 nucleotides long. The record is from RefSeq and is a predicted model, not a curated record. Lineage: Eukaryota; Metazoa; Chordata; Mammalia; Rodentia; Heteromyidae.
GUGCUUGUUUUGGCAGCACAUAUACUAAGAUUGGAAUGAUACAGAGAAGAUUAGCAUGGUCCUUGUGCAAGGAUGACUUGAAAAUUCAUAAAGUGUUCCAUAUAUAC